This 305-nucleotide transfer-messenger RNA is filed under the name Clostridiales bacterium. RNAcentral's name for it is "partial transfer-messenger RNA". It matches the Rfam family "transfer-messenger RNA", at positions 47 to 374 of the family's 374-position model. From Rfam's summary of the family: Bacterial tmRNA, also known as 10Sa RNA or SsrA, is named for its dual tRNA and mRNA-like properties. Its role is to liberate the mRNA from a stalled ribosome. The record is from RNAcentral. Lineage: Bacteria; Bacillati; Bacillota; Clostridia; Eubacteriales.
GAGCGGCGGCCCUGAACCGCCCAACAACGGGAAAACAAUAAGAACUGACAACUACAACACUGUAGCCGUCGCGGCUUAGUCCGCGGCCGUCGGCCCUGAGCCUCCUGCGGCGCAGGCAACCGGCGUCAUAAAUGCAGGGAACCAGCCCGCAUAAGCUUUGCCGCGGGUGGGAUUGAUGAAGCUACUGAAGCCGGAACCCUGUCUGCGGGGGUUCGGCGGAGGGAAUGUCAAAACACAGACUGCGCUCGGAGAAAAUCUGGUUGUCUGAUCUUCGGACAGGGGUUCGACCCCCCUCGCCUCCACCA